Molecule: ribosomal RNA, 253 nt
Filed under: uncultured bacterium
Lineage: Bacteria
Description: partial 16S ribosomal RNA
Rfam family: Bacterial small subunit ribosomal RNA
Source: RNAcentral
UACGAAGGGGGCUAGCGUUGCUCGGAAUCACUGGGCGUAAAGCGCACGUAGGCGGAUUGCUAAGUCAGGGGUGAAAUCCUGGAGCUCAACUCCAGAACUGCCUUUGAUACUGAAGAUCUUGAGUUCGGGAGAGAUGAGUGGAACUGCGAGUGUAGAGGUGAAAUUCGUAGAUAUUCGCAAGAACACCAGUGGCGAAGGCGGCUCACUGGCCCGAUACUGACGCUGAGGCACGAAAGCGUGGGGAGCAAACAGG